GAUCAUGGCUCAGAACGAACGCUGGCGGCGCGUCUUAAGCAUGCAAGUCGGACGGCAAGGGUUGUGCUUGCACAACUCCUAGAGUGGCGGACUGGUGAGUAACGCGUGGGUGACCUGCCCUCGAGAUGGGGAUAGCCAUUAGAAAUAGUGGAUAAUACCGAAUACGCUCAUGACCCUGUGGGGAUAUGAGGAAAACAGGCUACGGCCUGGCUCGAGGAUGGGCCCGCGCCCCAUUAGCUAGUUGGUGAGGUAACGGCCCACCAAGGCGACGAUGGGUAUCCGGCCUGAGAGGGUGUACGGACACAUUGGAACUGAGACACGGUCCAGACUCCUACGGGAGGCAGCAGCUAAGAAUCUUCCGCAAUGGGCGAAAGCCUGACGGAGCCGACGCCGCGUGAACGAAGAAGGCCGUGAGGUUGUAAAGUUCUUUUCGGGAGGGGGAACAACCGUGGCAGGGAAUGGCCGCGGGAUGACGUGAAUCCCGGAAUAAGCCCCGGCUAACUACGUGCCAGCCGCAGC
This 519-nucleotide ribosomal RNA is filed under the name uncultured bacterium. Its description in RNAcentral is "bacterial SSU rRNA". It matches the Rfam family "Bacterial small subunit ribosomal RNA", at positions 15 to 518 of the family's 1533-position model. The record is from RNAcentral.